This 481-nucleotide ribosomal RNA is filed under the name uncultured bacterium. Its description in RNAcentral is "partial 16S ribosomal RNA". It matches the Rfam family "Bacterial small subunit ribosomal RNA", at positions 28 to 507 of the family's 1533-position model. The record is from RNAcentral.
GACGAACGUUGGCGGCGUGCUUAAUACAUGCAAGUCAACUGAAGCAGUGGUAGCAAUAUCGCUGUGGAGGUGGCGCACGGGUGAGUAACACGUAGGUAAUCUGCCUUCAGGUCUGGCAUAACUCCGGGAAACCGGGGCUAAUAGCAGAUGAUGCAGCGGCUCGACAUCGAGACAGUUGUUAAAGCUAUGGCGCCUGAAGAUGAGCCUGCGUCUGAUUAGCUAGUUGGCGGGGUAACGGCCCACCAAGGCAACGAUCAGUAGCUGGUCUGAGAGGAUGAUCAGCAACACUGGAACUGAGACACGGUCCAGACUACUACGGGAGGCAGCAGUAAGGAAUAUUGCUCAAUGGGAGAAAUCCUGAAGCAGCAACGCCGCGUGAGGGACGAAGGGCUUUUGCUUGUAAACCUCUGUAGUGAGAGAAAAAAAUCCCAAUCUUUGGGACAUGAUGGUAUCUCAAAAGUAAGCCCCGGCUAACUACGUG